This 497-nucleotide ribosomal RNA is filed under the name uncultured bacterium. Its description in RNAcentral is "partial 16S ribosomal RNA". It matches the Rfam family "Bacterial small subunit ribosomal RNA", at positions 28 to 507 of the family's 1533-position model. The record is from RNAcentral.
GAUGAACGCUGGCGGCGUGCCUAAUACAUGCAAGUCGAGCGAACAGACGAGGAGCUUGCUCCUCUGACGUUAGGGGCGGACGGGUGAGUAAAAAGUGGUUAACCUACCUAUAAGAAUGGGAUAAAUUCGGGAAACCGGAGCUAAUACCAGAAAAUAUAUUGAACCGGAUGGUUUAAUAGUUAAAGAAGGGUUUGCUGUCACUUAUAGAUGGCACCGCGCCGCAUUAGCUAGUUGGUAAGGUAACGGCUUACCAAGGCAACGAUGCGUAGCCGACCUGAGAGGGUGAUCGGCCACACUGGAACUGAGACACGGUCCAGACUCCUACGGGAGGCAGCAGUAGGGAAUCUUCCGCAAUGGGCGAAAGCCUGACGGAGCAACGCCGCGUGAGUGAUGAAGGUCUUCGGAUCGUAAAACUCUGUUAUUAGGGAAGAACAAAUGUGUAAGUAACUAUGCACGUCUUGACGGUACCUAAUCAGAAAGCCACGGCUAACUACGUG